RNAcentral lists this unclassified non-coding RNA (240 nucleotides) under soil metagenome. RNAcentral's name for it is "partial contains 5.8S ribosomal RNA, internal transcribed spacer 2, and large subunit ribosomal RNA". The record is from RNAcentral.
AACGCACGAGACCUGCGGACCUGCGGAAGGAUCAUUACCGAGUGAGGGCCCUCUGGGUCCAACCUCCCACCCGUGUUUAUCGUACCUUGUUGCUUCGGCGGGCCCGCCUCACGGCCGCCGGGGGGCACCUGCCCCCGGGCCCGCGCCCGCCGAAGACAUCAUUGAACUCUGUCUGAAGAUUGCAGUCUGAGUAGAUUAGCUGAAUCAGUUAAAACUUUCAACAACGGAUCUCUAGAUCGG